This 228-nucleotide ribosomal RNA is filed under the name Triticum aestivum (bread wheat). RNAcentral's name for it is "partial small subunit ribosomal RNA". The record is from RNAcentral. Lineage: Eukaryota; Viridiplantae; Streptophyta; Magnoliopsida; Poales; Poaceae.
AUGUUCUUUCACCCUAACAUUGCUCUUCUAUUCAGGUCUGUCAGUGGAAAUAGCGUGCAAGACCAUAUCCACUAUCUUGGCAUCAGCAUGCAUUCCGAGUCGCGGGGAUCAUGCAGGAUCGUCACGGAUGACAAUAUGCUCAGGUACAAAGUUGGCACUGUAGACGGCGCUAUUGUCUUCUCGAAGCAGCCUGGUUUAUCAGUUGAUCAGCUACUCAGUGCACAGUAA